Molecule: long non-coding RNA, 341 nt
Organism: Onychostoma macrolepis
Lineage: Eukaryota; Metazoa; Chordata; Actinopteri; Cypriniformes; Cyprinidae
Exons: 4
Source: RefSeq, a predicted model, not a curated record
CCAGCAAUGGCAUCUUCAAGUUUUUCCAGUCCUGUGUAUGAAGUAGAAUUUCGACUGUAAGAUUCGAGUUGAGUCUUCAGUAUGGAGAACUCAUCAUCCAUCGCGUCAAGAUCAUCCAUUAAGAAUGUCGUUGGACGUCCCGACUCAUCUGCAGAUACCCAGAGAUCCAGACAGAACAGCAGCAGUACUCCAGUCCACAUCAUUUUGACUCCCAGGAAUAAGAACUUAGCCAUUUAUAAAUGUGUGUGAUAGCAGUGUGUACAGAGGAGAGGACUGAAGUACAGCUCCAUAGUGUAAUGGUUGUUCUUUUACAAACCCACUGACUAAAUGAACUGAUUCUG